CCAAUAGCGUAUAUUAAAGUUGUUGCAGUUAAAAAGCUCGUAGUUGAACUUCGGGAUCAAUUAGUUGGUCAUGCCUUGGUAUGUACUGAUUUUAUUGGUUCUCACCUUCUAAAGAACUAUAAUGUCAUUUAUUUGAUGUUAUAGGGAAUUAGGACUGUUACCUUGAAAAAAUUAGAGUGUUUAAAGCAGGCUCACGCUUGAAUACAUUAGCAUGGAAUAAUGAAAUAGGACAUCGCAUUCUAUUUUGUUGGUUUCUAGGAUCGAUGUAAUGAUUAAUAGGGAUAGUUGGGGGCAUUAGUAUUCAAUUGUCAGAGGUGAAAUUCUUGGAUUUAUUGAAGACUAACUACUGCGAAAGCAUUUGCCAAGGAUGUUUUCAUUAAUCAAGAAUGAAAGUUAGGGGAUCGAAGACGAUCAGAUACCGUCGUAGUCUUAACCAUAAACUAUGCCGACUAGGGAUCGGAUGAUGUUGAUUUUUUAAUGACUCAUUCGGCACCUUACG
This 499-nucleotide ribosomal RNA is filed under the name uncultured Glomeromycotina. RNAcentral describes it as "partial small subunit ribosomal RNA". It matches the Rfam family "Eukaryotic small subunit ribosomal RNA", at positions 591 to 1092 of the family's 1831-position model. The record is from RNAcentral. Lineage: Eukaryota; Fungi; Glomeromycota.